RNAcentral lists this ribosomal RNA (396 nucleotides) under uncultured bacterium. Its description in RNAcentral is "bacterial SSU rRNA". It matches the Rfam family "Bacterial small subunit ribosomal RNA", at positions 30 to 432 of the family's 1533-position model. The record is from RNAcentral.
AUUGAACGCUGGCGGAAUGCUUUACACAUGCAAGUCGAACGGUAGAGGGGGCAACCCCUUGAGAGUGGCGAACGGGUGAGUAAUAUAUCGGAACGUGCCCAGUCGUGGGGAUAACGUAGCGAAAGCUACGCUAAUACCGCAUACGAUCUACGGAUGAAAGCGGGGGAUCGCAAGACCUCGCGCGAUUGGAGCGGCCGAUAUCAGAUUAGGUAGUUGGUGAGGUAAAGGCUCACCAAGCCGACGAUCUGUAGCUGGUCUGAGAGGACGACCAGCCACACUGGGACUGAGACACGGCCAGACUCCUACGGGAGGCAGCAGUGGGAAUUUUGGGACAAUGGGCGCAAGCCUGAUCAGCAAUGACCGCGUGCAGGAUGAAAGCCUUCGGGUUGUAAACUG